Molecule: ribosomal RNA, 1345 nt
Filed under: uncultured bacterium
Lineage: Bacteria
Description: bacterial SSU rRNA
Rfam family: Bacterial small subunit ribosomal RNA
Source: RNAcentral
GACGAACGCUGGCGGCGUGCUUAACACAUGCAAGUCGAACGAUGAAGCGGUACUUGCACCGUGGAUUAGUGGCGAACGGGUGAGUAAUACGUGAGUGACCUACCUUUGACUCUGGGAUAAGCCUGGGAAACUGGGUCUAAUACCGGAUACGACCAAUCUCUGCAUGGGGUGUUGGUGGAAAGCGUUAUGGAGUGGUUUUAGAUGGGCUCACGGCCUAUCAGCUUGUUGGUGAGGUAAUGGCUUACCAAGGCGACGACGGGUAGCCGGCCUGAGAGGGUGACCGGCCACACUGGGACUGAGACACGGCCCAGACUCCUACGGGAGGCAGCAGUGGGGAAUAUUGCACAAUGGGCGCAAGCCUGAUGCAGCGACGCCGCGUGAGGGAUGACGGCCUUCGGGUUGUAAACCUCUGUUAGCAUCGAAGAAGCGAAAGUGACGGUAGGUGCAGAGAAAGCGCCGGCUAACUACGUGCCAGCAGCCGCGGUAAUACGUAGGGCGCGAGCGUUGUCCGGAAUUAUUGGGCGUAAAGAGCUUGUAGGCGGUUGGUCGCGUCUGCUGUGAAGGCCGGGGCUUAACUCCGGUUUUGCAGUGGGUACGGGCUAACUAGAGUGCAGUAGGGGAGACUGGAAUUCCUGGUGUAGCGGUGGAAUGCACAGAUAUCAGGAGGAACACCGAUGGCGAAGGCAGGUCUCUGGGCUGUAACUGACGCUGAGAAGCGAAAGCAUGGGGAGCGAACAGGAUUAGAUACCCUGGUAGUCCAUGCCGUAAACGUUGGGCACUAGGUGUGGGGGACAUUCCACGUUUUCCGCGCCGUAGCUAACGCAUUAAGUGCCCCGCCUGGGGAGUACGGCCGCAAGGCUAAAACUCAAAGGAAUUGACGGGGGCCCGCACAAGCGGCGGAGCAUGCGGAUUAAUUCGAUGCAACGCGAAGAACCUUACCAAGGCUUGACAUGCAUUAGAUCGCGUCAGAGAUGGCGUUUCCCUUCGGGGCUGGUGUACAGGUGGUGCAUGGUUGUCGUCAGCUCGUGUCGUGAGAUGUUGGGUUAAGUCCCGCAACGAGCGCAACCCUCGUUCUAUGUUGCCAGCGGUUCGGCCGGGGACUCAUAGGAGACUGCCGGGGUUAACUCGGAGGAAGGUGGGGAUGACGUCAAAUCAUCAUGCCCCUUAUGUCUUGGGCUUCACGCAUGCUACAAUGGCCGGUACAGAGGGUUGCGAUACUGUGAGGUGGAGCUAAUCCCUUAAAGCCGGUCUCAGUUCGGAUUGGGGUCUGCAACUCGACCCCAUGAAGUCGGAGUCGCUAGUAAUCGCAGAUCAGCAACGCUGCGGUGAAUACGUUCCCGGGCCU